RNAcentral lists this long non-coding RNA (202 nucleotides) under Chelonoidis abingdonii (Abingdon island giant tortoise). RNAcentral's name for it is "lncRNA (ENSCABG00000010087.1)". Lineage: Eukaryota; Metazoa; Chordata; Testudines; Testudinidae. The record is from RNAcentral.
CUCAGAUUCGGACCUGGCCCUGGAGCCGCGGCCCAUGGAGGAACAUUUUGAUGGGGUGCUGGAUGAAGAUACUGUGGCUGAGGCCCUGUACAAACUGGGGCGUUCAGCCCCUGGCACCAAGUUUGUUUACCUUAAUCUGUCACUGUCAGGGCGUAAUUUAAGUGACAUUAGCAUUCUUUCCAGAUACAUUCACUUAGAGAAG